UUUAAUUUAAAGGAACCAAUGAUAUCAUAUAAGGGUAACACACACAUGACGAGGUCAUUGGAAAAAGCAGUUGGAUGAAUUGCUUUCGCAAAGAGUAUACAAUAAGGAGUUUUUAAUCAUAGUACUUCUUAUGGACUGACUCCAUGAUUAAAUAAUUGUGAAUUAUUAGAAUGGUGCUUCUGGACAUAACUGCAAUUACUAUAGCCUAAUUGUAUAUGUCCAACUAGUCCCUCCGCUAAUUCAACAAAAGCUUGAUCGAACUGCAUUUGAAUCAAAAGAAAAUUCUACAACUUUAGAAAUAAUUUAAUUGAUUCGAUUUAUUCGAUGUGAAAUUAAAUUAGGUGGUCAUGAGAAUUAUUCAAUUAGAAAUUUUGAUUAAAAAAUUUUCUUGAAAAAUUAAUUUGAAAAAUCCAAGUGAUUUUUAGAAAAUUAAUUUUGAUCAAGUAAAAUUAAAUUAAUCAAAAUAAUUAAAAUUAAUGUGAUAUUUUUGGAAAUUAAUUUUCAAGUCAAACAAUUGACCCAAUGGGUAAUUGAACUUGAAAAUUGGACUUGAGAUUGUAAAUUGGGUCCGGGAGCCCAAAACUGAAACCAAGACCUAAAAAAUGAUCGAAUUGGGCCCAGUAUGUGAAACCGAACUAACGGUCCAACCGGUGACUAGACCAAACCUGUUAGGCUGUCACUUACCCGGACCGAACCAGCUCGGGGUGUCGUAAGGGUGUUGCACCUAUAUCAUCGGAUAUGGCAGUGUCAUCGGCGGCGAUGGCGAUGUUCCAGCGGUUAACGACAAUUGGUCUUCGGUGGUUGAGUAGUGAAAGAGUUACACUCCUACUGGGACUUUACCAGAGACUUUGAUUUCAGAUUAACUAUUCCAAAAAUAAUAAUAUUUUAAUAGUUUAAAAUUAAAUUAAAUUAAAUUAAAUAUUUAUCUUGUAGAUAAAUAUUAUAUUAUUUUAAUAAUAUUUAAUAUUAAAGUUAUUAAGUUUAAUCAUAGUUGAACUCUCUAAACUCUCCCUAUACAAAGAGAAUAUUGAGUCAUUAUUUUUCACACAAAGAAAGUUGUAGAGAAAAUUUUCUAAAGAAAUUAUUUCAAAAACUUUUAGUAAUAUUUUUUUUAAUUUACAAUUUGAUCCAAAAGUUUAGAGAAAUUACGAAAUUACCUCACUGGUAAUUUUUGCGAAAAAUUUUCUGAUUUGAAGCGAGCCCACACUCGGCAGACGUGAAUUUGAGGAUAACAGAAAAGACUACUGCGUCGAAGAGCUCAUCCUAGAUAAAUCGGAGAGGUACAAUUUUGAUUAAAUGUUUAUUACUUUAGAUAUCACAACUAAGACCUUAUUUUGGAGAAAAUUUUAAAACUCUAUUUUCUCUAAAUUUAUUUUCUUCUGCGUUUUCCAAACCUGUUUUUUCAACACAUGUCAUGUUGAUGUACAAAGACUUUUUUUUAAUAGUAAAAAUAUAUAAUUUUUUUAGUAAAAUGACAAAUUAACUAUUUGAUCUAAUAUAUAGAGACUAAUUCACCUAAGGGCGAAGCCAAAAUAAUUUUUUAGAGCUUAAAUAAAAAAAAUUCAUUUUAGGGGAGAUCAGGUCCCCUACCAGCCCCUAGAUUCGUCUCCAAAUUUACCUUUAAUAGUAAAAAAAAAAAAACAAUUAAAGUCAUAGUAAAAAAUCUUCAUUAUACCUUUACCUCUUCUGCGUAAAGAAUUAAACCUUCGUCCUAGCCCAUCAAAAUGAUCAAGUAUAAAAGCAUUACUUCAUACUCCCUACAGAUAUAAUAUUAAUUCAGAAAUUGCAAUGGAAAUGAUGAUAAUAUAUUAAGCGAUAAUGGAUAUCAAAAAGUAAACAACAACAAAAAAAGAGAAUAAAGAGGACCCACUGAUGAGUUGGAUACAAGGUUAUCCAUAUCCCUAUCUCAGUCAACUUCUUUUCCCCCUCUUCUCUAUCCAUUUGUUCACCCAUUUUUUGUUCUUUGGAUAAUAAUAUGUCAUUUUAUUAUAUUAUUCAAUAAUAGUGUGUAUAAAUACAGUGUAACCCUUAAAAAUAUAGACAUAUUCCAUUGACGACCCUACAGCCAGAUAAAGACACCUUAGCGGCAAAAAAAAAAAAAAAACUGGAAACAACUUAGCGGCAAAAGAUAAAAAAUUAAAACAAGUUCACUUAGGUGGCAAAAAAGAAUUUCCUGAUUUUACUGCAAAUAGUAGCGAAAGUUCCCCCUCUUUUUUCUAAUUAUAAAUAGCACUUCUCACUUUCACAUUAUAUAAUUGAAAACUCGAAACAGUAAGGAAAAAAAAUUGGUCUGUACGGAGUUAUUACCCGAUCUGAUUCCCGGUUUACCAGAGGAAAUCGGAAACGAGUGCUUGACUCGGUUUCAUUAUUCAACUCACAGACUCGCAGUUCGGGUUUGUCGACGACGGCAAGAGCUUCUCCAAAGCAAAGAGUUUUACUAUCACAGAAAGCGUACCG
This 2457-nucleotide long non-coding RNA is filed under the name Gossypium raimondii (Peruvian cotton). RNAcentral describes it as "long non-coding RNA (GRAI_LNC007655)". Lineage: Eukaryota; Viridiplantae; Streptophyta; Magnoliopsida; Malvales; Malvaceae. The record is from RNAcentral.